GACGAACGCUGGCGGCGUGCCUAAUACAUGCAAGUAGAACGCUGAAGGAGGAGCUUGCUUCUCUGGAUGAGUUGCGAACGGGUGAGUAACGCGUAGGUAACCUGCCUUGUAGCGGGGGAUAACUAUUGGAAACGAUAGCUAAUACCGCAUAAUAGCAGUUAUUGCAUGAUAACUGUUUGAAAGGUGCAAUUGCACCACUACCAGAUGGACCUGCGUUGUAUUUGCUAGUUGGUGGGGUAACGGCUCGCCAAGGCGACGUUACAUAGCAGACCGGAGAGGGGGAGCGGCCACACUGGGACUGAGACACGGCCCAGACUCCUACGGGAGGCAGCAGUAGGGAAUCUUCGGCAAUGGACGGAAGUCUGACCGAGCAACGCCGCGGGAGUGAAGAAGGUUUUCGGAUCGUAAAGCUCUGUUGUAAGAGAAGAACGAGUGUGAGAGUGGAAAGUUCACACUGUGACGGUAACUUACCAGAAAGGGACGGCUAACUACGUG
Molecule: ribosomal RNA, 495 nt
Filed under: uncultured bacterium
Lineage: Bacteria
Description: partial 16S ribosomal RNA
Rfam family: Bacterial small subunit ribosomal RNA
Source: RNAcentral